UGAACAUAAUCUUGGAGUGCAGAAAGGUGGUCAUGAACCAAGUUUACGACCUCACCAAGUCACUAAGCAGAAUGCUAGUGCUGAAAAUAGCAAGGCAACCAAGCCAUGUGGUCAUCACCAAGUCACUAAGCAGG
Hordeum vulgare subsp. vulgare (domesticated barley) is the source of this 134-nucleotide long non-coding RNA. RefSeq lists it as uncharacterized. The transcript has 2 exons. The record is from RefSeq and is a predicted model, not a curated record. NCBI's taxonomy places the organism in Eukaryota, Viridiplantae, Streptophyta, Magnoliopsida, Poales, Poaceae.